CACAGCAGGUGGAGCUCUCCUGCGUUACAGCGAGGGAUCACUGUAGACGUUGUUUUGAGAAGCUUUUUAAUAAACGGUGAUCAUCAACCAAUCAGAAAAGACACAAAUAUUUAUUUUCCUUAAAGAACAAACAGAGAAAGAAAGGAAGAAAGAAAAACCCUGCUGGAAAUAAAAAUGAUUCUCAUUUUGUAAAAUUGUGGGUGAUAUUUUCAAAUCAACAAGAUUGACACAUUGCUGCCCUUCAUUGAAUUAUAAUUCUGCAAAGCAUGAACACAACAGAGACGAUUGAGUUUUGAAACCUUCCAGAACACCAGCUCUUGCCAGCAUUCUUGCGUUGGCAGAUGUCCGUCAAGGGUUUUCGGCUGAUGGGUCUUUACGUGAAUUCGGUUCGGAGCUGUUCACAAUUUUUGGUCGGCUGAGAAUUUUGCAGUUUACGUGUAUUUUACGUAGUUCAUAUGUGUGAUCCUUGUGAGAUACAAACCCAAAUUUGAGGCUUUCCACGACCGUUCCAGGUAUGUCUAAUAUACUUUUAAUGCACGUACCACCGAUGAAUAACUAUAUUCAUAUGAAUAUAAUUAAAAUUGGAUUUACUUACUGGUGUAUGUGGACAGAUGCAUAAAUUGUCCAAGAAAACUUUGACAACUCAUCUUAUAUUAGACAUCUUUGUAUACAUUAGAGUCUUGUUUUUGCAUUUUUGCUUUGGUUCUAUUAAAUAAACCUUUUUAAAUUAAUUGUUCACGUUUCCCAGUGGCAGCAUGUUAUGCUUUUGUACUACUAAAGUACUUCUGAACAAAAAUCAAAGUGUCAUUUUGUUGGUUAUCUCAUAUUUGCUUAUUUUAUGCAUCACCUAGCUAUAUAUAUAUAGGUGCUUUAAUCAUGUUUGCAAAAGUAUAUGUGUGUCCGAAUUUGUUUCAAAGGAAGGUGAAGGUGACACCCUUGGGAGAAAAUGUUUCUCUUUGCAUCUUUUUAGCAUUCUCCUGAGAAGCUGUGUUAGCUGUGUCUAAUGAAGCGAAGGACGCUCUGUGUUAGUUUAUCUGUGAAAAAAAGCUUUGCAGGUCCGGAGAUGAUGUGAGAAGACUGUGGAAGUAUGGACAUGUUGCAAUUAAUGUUUCUGAUAGCGCUGCAGCUGUGUUUUUAUCUGUUUCCCUCCUUAGAGCUCAGCGCAUGUGUAACUUAGGGACAACCCAAAACAAUUUAUUAAGAGAGGAGGCAGCAGAAUCUGCACCAGAGUGGAGAGAGAUUGUUUAGUGGGUAGAUCUCUGUCUGCUCUCCUCGUAAAGCAUCUACUGGAGCUGGAGGAGUGUGGAGGGACUGUGGUUGUGGAGGUCUGUCAGCAGUCGGGGUGAGGCUGUGGAGGAAGGACGUGAAUUUGGCCCUGACCAACUGGUACUGAUAGCCAGGGAGAGUCCUCAGGGCAUCCUGGACAUAGCCCAUGGACCUCUGUGAGUGGUCCUGCUUCUCCUGCUACACAGGCAAGGCGGGCAGCGAUGGACUCGAGGCACUCCAGUGACUGCUCUUCCUCUGCAGCGGGCUACUGUGAAGACUGUGUCAGAAUCCAGCGGACGGGGCUCAGGUUGUGGCUGGGUGAGUGGCCUGUGCCGCUGAAGGUGGUACAUGGGCUGGCUCUGUCCCUCGGUGGGUAUCUGUCGUGGUCCACAAUCCAAAGCUCACGGUCUGUUAGCUCCUUCCUUCAUCAGCCUCACACACCAGUCUUUCACUGUUUUCCACCAGAACUCGAUGGUUACACCAAACUGCUCAGCCAUGAGAGCCCACAGAGUUCUCCUGGUCUUAUACAACCUGUGUCACCUCCUUCAGACUCCCUCGUUCUCCCUCAUCCACAAGAUCUUCGUCCUGCUCCUGUGUGAGGCUGUGGUCCUGACGCGCUUUUGGUUCUCCAGCUGCUGCCCAGGUCGGCUUGGCCUUGCCCUAACCUUGGGUUGGUUGUAGGGGAGGGGGCUGGACAUGCUCUGUUUGUUGUAUGCUGGUCACGUUCACUAUCACCAAUAGCUUCAACAUGAGGGCCAGGGUGUGAGGAAGAUGUUGAUUUAGGCUCUGGAGUGGACUGCUGCUUCUCUGGAUCAGGCGCAGGUAGAUUUGACCUUCUUCUUCCUCCCCAGCUUGGAUCUUGUGGGUUGGGAUUUCCUAUUCACCUGCAUUAUCUGGUCAGAGUUGAGGCUCCUUUGGAAUGCAGGGGUCGAAGUGGUUAUGGUAAUCCUCUGCUGCGACACCUUUGAUAUGUACGUUGUGCCAAGCUACCGCCAAGCAUGUGGGUACCAUCGUGGAUACGUGUACACAAGUCAUUUCAGUGUUUCAUCUGUGGGAACGUCACAGUCGAUUUUUGGGCCAGCUUUGUCUGGCAUUUGCAUCUUGCAAGAAUAACGUACGAUUGAGUAUGAUGCACGUAAACAAUGCAUGGACUGCAUAACUCUGAACCACCCAAACACUUUGAACAGCUCAAAACCGAAUUCACAUAAAGACCUGUAAGCCGAAACCCUCGACAGACAUCGUUGCACAUCGAUGAAUGACGAACGCCAGAAACACUCAUGAUUUACAUACCAUGUAUGGAUCACGGAUGGCUGAAAUUCCAUCCGUGGAAAAUGAGCAAAUCAUAUGUAGCUGCUGUGUGACACGGCCUUUAGAGAUAAGGUGAGAAGCUCCGGAGAGAGCUCGGAGUAGAGCCGCUGCUCUUCACAUUCAGAGGAGCCGGUGGAUGUGCCUCAGGUAUCUGGUCCAGAUGCCUCCUGGACAUCUUCUUAGGAAGGUGUUCCGGGAUCUCCCGCUAGGCGGAGGUCCCAGAGAAGACCCAGGACAAGCAGGAUGGGCUAGUCUCUCAGCUGGCCUGGGAACGUCUCAGGGUCCCCCCAAAGGAGCUGGAGGAAGUGGCCGGGCGAGGGAAGUCUGGGCAUCUUUACUCAGACUGCUGCGACCAGGUCCUGGGGUUGCGGUGGCAGGAAAAAGAUGGGUGGAUGGAUGGAUGCAUGGAUUAAUGGGUGGGUGGAUUAUAAUACACAUUUUAUCUUUGUCUAUUAAAUUUGAUUCUUCUCCCUUGCAUGCAUUGAACUGGCUCUUUCACAGGAAGUGCAUGUAUUCAUGCUCCUAUAGGACCAGGACUGGCCUUAACUGCAGCUCAUCACAUUGGUCUAUUGAUCAGGUGUGUAACUUUUUCAUCUCCUUCCAAUUGAUUCAGGUCCCCAAAGGGGGAAACUGUCAGUCCUUAGACGUACACAAAAUGAAAGAAGCAAAAUUAAAACAGCUGCAAGACCUCACAGCAUCACACGAGGACCAGCCGUGAUCUUUAGUACUUUUUUUAAUUAAUGCAGAGCCCAACAUGUUAAACACAUCUUCAUGUCUUGACAGUUAGAUUGAGCCUUAAACCUGUUUUAGGCCCUCUGGGGUUACAAGGAUGUUAGAGCCAAU
Non-coding RNA from Oryzias latipes (Japanese medaka), 3417 nucleotides. NCBI's taxonomy places the organism in Eukaryota, Metazoa, Chordata, Actinopteri, Beloniformes, Adrianichthyidae. The record is from RefSeq and is a predicted model, not a curated record.